CAGGAGUCAGGCGGGGGUGGGUGAGUCCUGGAGUUUUAUCCAAUCAUUGACACUGAUGUGGGAACCGCCCUAUCAGGCGCGCGGUGGCAGAGGAGAGGAAAGGAGGGCGUGGCUUCCUGCAUUUGGCGGCGUCUUUGUCUCUCGCUGGCGCUGGCACAGGACCUUGGGAUCUGUCUCUUUCGCCUCCUGCACCUUGGGAGCCCCGGGCUACUCUCUCACAGCCCUUGUUGCCCUGCGAUCUGUAGGUCCUUGGGGACGCAUAGUUAAGGUGCCAGGACAUCCUGGAAGCUGGGAAAUGUUAGCAUUUCAUCAUAUCAGUGUGAAGAUUUCUUCCAGCCCAUGGCUGGAGAAGGAAAGAAGGUGUGUUUUGCCUGAUUCAGGGGCUAUAGAGAGAACCAAGUUCUGCAGGCCUGUCACCUAA
This 421-nucleotide long non-coding RNA is filed under the name Pan troglodytes (chimpanzee). Its description in RNAcentral is "lncRNA (ENSPTRG00000053454.1)". Lineage: Eukaryota; Metazoa; Chordata; Mammalia; Primates; Hominidae. The record is from RNAcentral.